This 72-nucleotide transfer RNA is filed under the name Pseudomonadota bacterium. RNAcentral describes it as "Proteobacteria bacterium tRNA-Arg". It matches the Rfam family "tRNA". From Rfam's summary of the family: Transfer RNA (tRNA) molecules are approximately 80 nucleotides in length. Their secondary structure includes four short double-helical elements and three loops (D, anti-codon, and T loops). The record is from RNAcentral. Lineage: Bacteria; Pseudomonadati; Pseudomonadota.
GGUCCUAUAGUUUAACGGACAGAACAAUCCCUUCCUAAGGGAUAGGUCGGGGUUCGAUUCCCUGUGGGACCG